This 171-nucleotide unclassified non-coding RNA is filed under the name soil metagenome. Its description in RNAcentral is "partial contains 5.8S ribosomal RNA, internal transcribed spacer 2, and large subunit ribosomal RNA". The record is from RNAcentral.
AACCUAGCACACCUGCGGUGUGUACCUGCGGAAGGAUCAUUAAUAAAUGUUACUUCGGUAACUUAAUUAAUCCCUAACACCUGUGCAUCUUGUCGCUUCGGCGUCAUUUUAUAAACAUCAGUGUAAUGAAUGUAAAGUAUUAUAACAAAUACAACUUUCAACAAUGGAUCU